RNAcentral lists this long non-coding RNA (1142 nucleotides) under Gossypium barbadense (sea-island cotton). Its description in RNAcentral is "long non-coding RNA (GBAR_LNC010913)". Lineage: Eukaryota; Viridiplantae; Streptophyta; Magnoliopsida; Malvales; Malvaceae. The record is from RNAcentral.
AGUAAUAACAAACCCUAAAUGAAGCAUUUGACCGCUUUCAAAAAGAAGAAAAAACAAAGUUUUUCUCUCCAAUAUUCGACCGACCAACAGUCCUUCAUUCGACUAUUCCUGCCUCUCCUUUCGACUCAUACAAUGGUCAAUCAAGGCUUCAUUGAACCAUAAGUUUGUGAGUCUUGCUCGCAAGCCCCAAAUUGCUAGUUAGUUUCGAUUGUGACGAAACAAACAGGGAUUCGAAGGCGUCAAAACACAGAUAAGUUUCUUCAUUUUUUUAUUAUACAAUAAAUGAAAGUCAUGAAGAAAGAAAGAUAUGAGAACCAAAUCGGGGGAAAAGCCAAAAAUCACCUUUUCUGAUUUGUUUUCGAAGUGCGUUUUUCAUAUUCAGUAUGCGUAAGUUCUUAGAGAUUUCAUUCAGUGGCUUUUUAUAGCCGAAAAAUGAGAAUAAAAUAAAUAAGAAAAAUCAAUUUGCUUUACUGUAAUUUGCUGCAUAUUUUGUUAGUCUGCUUCUUCUCACAGGUUCGACUAUACGGAGGAAGGCCACUCGUGGGGAGGCUGUGAUGCGCGUGAGUAGCAGUUUGGUGACCUGGGAUUUCCAGAGUCUUCACCCAUCCGGGCAAUUUGGGCUAAUUUCGGGAUUAGGCCUACUGGGGUGUUAGUUUAUUUGGGCUAGGAUUUAGACCUAAUGUUUGGGUCGGAUAUUAUUUAGGUUAAUUGGGUCAUGGGCUAUUUUAGACUAAUGGACUUUUAUUACAUUGGUUUUUUUAUUCUUUUGUUUUAUUUUGGUUUUGGGUUCUUUUAUGGGCUCGGAGUUUUGUAAAUGGACAUUGGUUUAUUUUGAUUUUAUUAUUUUAUUAUUUUUUUGGCUUUUUGGUUAAUUAUAGGCCCGGGCAAAUUGGGCCUAUUACAUUACCAUCCCAGAUGGCUCAAAAAUGAUGACUUUCAUUAUCUAUAUAUUCUACCAUCUCGAGUGACCCGAUAAUGAUGGCUUUCAUUUUCUAUAUAUUUUACCAACCCAAGUAGCUCAACAAUGAUGAUUUUCACUAUUUCGAUGGUCCUAUCACAUGCCAACUAAACUCGGCUUUGCCUUAGACAGUUAGUAGGUAACCACUACAUUAAUACACAUCAUAGACAGUUAGUAGGCAGCC